Molecule: ribosomal RNA, 497 nt
Filed under: uncultured bacterium
Lineage: Bacteria
Description: partial 16S ribosomal RNA
Rfam family: Bacterial small subunit ribosomal RNA
Source: RNAcentral
GAUGAACGCUGGCGGCGUGCCUAAUACAUGCAAGUCGAGCGAACGGACGAGAAGCUUGCUCCUCUGAUGUUAGCGGCGGACGGGUGAGUAACACGUGGAUAACCUACCUAUAAGACUGGGAUAACUUCGGGAAACCGGAGCUAAUACCGGAUAAUAUUUUGAACCGCAUGGUUCAAUAGUGAAAGACGGUCUUGCUGUCACUUAUAGAUGGAUCCGCGCCGCAUUAGCUAGUUGGUAAGGUAACGGCUUACCAAGGCAACGAUGCAUAGCCGACCUGAGAGGGUGAUCGGCCACACUGGAACUGAGACACGGUCCAGACUCCUACGGGAGGCAGCAGUAGGGAAUCUUCCGCAAUGGGCGAAAGCCUGACGGAGCAACGCCGCGUGAGUGAUGAAGGUCUUCGGAUCGUAAAACUCUGUUAUUAGGGAAGAACAUAUGUGUAAGUAACUGUGCACGUCUUGACGGUACCUAAUCAGAAAGCCACGGCUAACUACGUG